Long non-coding RNA from Arachis duranensis, 322 nucleotides. RefSeq lists it as uncharacterized. The record is from RefSeq and is a predicted model, not a curated record. NCBI's taxonomy places the organism in Eukaryota, Viridiplantae, Streptophyta, Magnoliopsida, Fabales, Fabaceae. The transcript has 3 exons.
UGGCUGAAGAUGAUGCUUCCUUGGUCAAGCAAAUUGGCCAGAGUUUCCAGUAUUCUAAAAUAGAGGAAAGAAGGGAGGAACAAAUCCAAGCUGCUCAUGAUGAAGCCAUGUUUGGUGCUCCAGCACUUCCACCUCCUACCAGUACUGACAGUGAGCCUGAAAGGGAGAAUGAGAAAGAAGUUGAUAAAAAAGCUGUUGUUACAAGCCUCUUAAGUGAAACGGAGUGCUGAAAUGGUGACCAUAUUCUACCUUGAGGGCUCAAGAAUAUUUUGAUACAUAGAGACACUAAUCUAUGUUAGAACUUUUAUGUUUUGGUUGAACU